UGCCCCUAUAGCUCAGUUGGAUAGAGCAGCGGUUUCCUAAACCGUGUGCCGGUGGUUCAAGUCCGCCUAGGGGCGU
This 76-nucleotide transfer RNA is filed under the name bacterium ADurb.Bin243. RNAcentral's name for it is "tRNA-Arg". It matches the Rfam family "tRNA". From Rfam's summary of the family: Transfer RNA (tRNA) molecules are approximately 80 nucleotides in length. Their secondary structure includes four short double-helical elements and three loops (D, anti-codon, and T loops). The record is from RNAcentral.